UACGGAGGAUGCAAGUGUUAUCCGGAAUCACUGGGCGUAAAGCGUCUGCAGGUGGUUUCCUAAGUCCACUGUUAAACCUUGAGGCUCAACCUCAAAUCUGCAUUGGAAACUAGGAGACUUGAGUAUAGUAGGGGUAGAGGGAAAUUCCAGUGGAGCGGUGAAAUGCGUAGAUAUUGGAAAGAACACCGAUUGCGAAGGCACUCUACUGGGCUAUUACUGACACUCAGAGACGAAAGCUAGGGGAGCAAAUGGG
RNAcentral lists this ribosomal RNA (253 nucleotides) under uncultured bacterium. RNAcentral's name for it is "partial 16S ribosomal RNA". It matches the Rfam family "Bacterial small subunit ribosomal RNA", at positions 524 to 776 of the family's 1533-position model. The record is from RNAcentral.